Long non-coding RNA from Polypterus senegalus (gray bichir), 1002 nucleotides. RefSeq lists it as uncharacterized. The transcript is spliced from 3 exons. The record is from RefSeq and is a predicted model, not a curated record. Lineage: Eukaryota; Metazoa; Chordata; Cladistia; Polypteriformes; Polypteridae.
GGGUGGGAGAGGAGGCGGGGCUGGGAUGACAUCAUAAAGGUCUCCAUGACUGGGAGGGCAGAAAUGGGAAACUGACUGUUCUGUAGCUCCCGAAUUCUUCCCCCAUGGGCCCUUCCACUUUUAUAGCCCAGAAAAGAAAAAUAAUCUUGUGAAUGUGGCAGUAUGUUUACUUCUUUUUUGUGUAAUUGUAUUGUUUUGUGUAACAAACAUCACCGAAUUAUUCUUUCAUCCUCUUCCUGAGUGUUUAACUUUUUUCCUUCUGUUAAUGUUUGUAGACUGCCUGGUGACACAGAGCCUUCACUUGACUUAGCUGCAUGCAAUGAAAGUUUCCCCGAGGCCUCUGAAUUGCACCAUCCCAAAAUGGCUUGUAAACUUGGAAUCACUUUAAAAUCAGAACUUGAGCUAUAAAAGAGCUGUUUGGAUGUUUGUCACAUCCACCUGCCUGAAUGAUUCCUAAUCCUGAAUUAAUUAGUACUGGGUCACGGUGAUCUGAAGCCAUUACCAGCUAAAUGAAGCACAAGACAAGAAUCUACCCAGGACGGGUUAUGAGCCUGAUUUAGAUUUGCUGAUCAACCCUCCUACAUGUCUUUGAUUCAUAGCAGUAACGUGUUUAGCAACAGCAUCUAGAAGAAGCGGGAAAGACUGCGAUGAUAACAAAUACCAACUGAUUGACAGAAAAACAUGGCCUUCAGCUUCAUGCAGGUGGAUGACGGUUUCAAUUUUUUCUGAGAAGACGCCCAAUGCAGGACACCUUGGCCCGCCCUCUCCACCUUGCACACCAUAAAAACAGGUGGUCUCAGAAAGGUGGCAUCGCAUUUUGACCGUGCCUUCAACGAAGACAGAGCUGCCACUGUCGGGACCUUAUUUUGACACAUUAGCAGGCUUAUUAAAGCUGACUUUGCUGUUUGCCAAGAGCGUUACACUCCUUGUUAUUUUGCUCUGCCAAUUAAACAAAGUAGCCUGGCUGGUGCCCCAACAUUUUUUUUUUUUUUUGUUGGCUUC